UGUUGGGGAAAGUUACUUUUAAAAGUAAUGCACUGCAAUAUUGCAAUACUCCCUAAAAAAGUUACUAAUUAUAUUAUUUAUAUGCUUUGGAAAGA
This is a long non-coding RNA of Sinocyclocheilus rhinocerous, 95 nucleotides long. RefSeq lists it as uncharacterized. The record is from RefSeq and is a predicted model, not a curated record. NCBI's taxonomy places the organism in Eukaryota, Metazoa, Chordata, Actinopteri, Cypriniformes, Cyprinidae. The transcript has 3 exons.